Molecule: ribosomal RNA, 450 nt
Filed under: uncultured bacterium
Lineage: Bacteria
Description: partial 16S ribosomal RNA
Rfam family: Bacterial small subunit ribosomal RNA
Source: RNAcentral
GUGGGGAAUAUUGGACAAUGGGCGAAAGCCUGAUCCAGCCAUGCCGCGUGUGUGAAGAAGGUCUUCGGAUUGUAAAGCACUUUAAGUUGGGAGGAAGGGCAGUAAGUUAAUACCUUGCUGUUUUGACGUUACCGACAGAAUAAGCACCGGCUAACUUCGUGCCAGCAGCCGCGGUAAUACGAAAGGUGCAAGCGUUAAUCGGAAUUACUGGGCGUAAAGCGCGCGUAGGUGGUUCAGCAAGUUGAAGGUGAAAUCCCCGGGCUCAACCUGGGAACUGCCUCCAAAACUACUGAGCUAGAGUACGGUAGAGGGUAGUGGAAUUUCCUGUGUAGCGGUGAAAUGCGUAGAUAUAGGAAGGAACACCAGUGGCGAAGGCGACUACCUGGACUGAUACUGACACUGAGGUGCGAAAGCGUGGGGAGCAAACAGGAUUAGAUACCCCUGUAGUCC